ACUCCUACGGGAGGCAGCAGUGGGAAUAUUGCACAAUGGGCGCAAGUCUGAUGCAGCAACGCCGCGUGCGGGAAGAAGGCCCUAGGGUUGUAAACCGCUUUCAGCAGGGAAGAAAUGACGGUACCUGCAGAAGAAGGUGCGGCCAACUACGUGCCAGCAGCCGCGGUGACACGUAGGCACCAAGCGUUGUCCGGAUUUAUUGGGCGUAAAGAGCUCGUAGGCGGUUUUGUAAGUCGGGUGUGAAAACUCUGGGCUCAACCCAGAGAGGCCACCCGAUACUGCAAUGACUUGAGUACGGUAGGGGAGCGGGGGAAUUCCUGGUGUAGCGGUGAAAUGCGCAGAUAUCAGGAGGAACACCAGUGGCGAAGGCGCCGCUCUGGGCCGUAACUGACGCUGAGGAGCGAAAGCAUGGGUAGCAAACAGGAUUAGAUACCCUGGUAGCGACUGA
RNAcentral lists this ribosomal RNA (448 nucleotides) under uncultured bacterium. RNAcentral's name for it is "bacterial SSU rRNA". It matches the Rfam family "Bacterial small subunit ribosomal RNA", at positions 335 to 798 of the family's 1533-position model. The record is from RNAcentral.